UGGGCAACCUGCCCCUGGCUCUGGGAUAACUCCCGGGGAAAACCGGAGCUAAUACCGGAUACGAGAUCGAUUGGCAUCUUUACGGUCUGGAAAGUUUUUCGGCCAGGGAUGGGCUCGCGGCCUAUCAGCUUGUUGGUGAGGUAAUGGCUCACCAAGGCGACGACGGGUAGCCGGUCUGAGAGGGCGACCGGCCACACUGGGACUGAGACACGGCCCAGACUCCUACGGGAGGCA
Molecule: ribosomal RNA, 234 nt
Filed under: uncultured bacterium
Lineage: Bacteria
Description: partial 16S ribosomal RNA
Rfam family: Bacterial small subunit ribosomal RNA
Source: RNAcentral